RNAcentral lists this ribosomal RNA (207 nucleotides) under uncultured bacterium. RNAcentral describes it as "partial 16S ribosomal RNA". It matches the Rfam family "Bacterial small subunit ribosomal RNA", at positions 568 to 774 of the family's 1533-position model. The record is from RNAcentral.
CACGUAGGCGGACCGGAAAGUUGGAGGUGAAAUCCCAGGGCUCAACCUUGGAACUGCCUUCAAAACUAUCGGUCUGGAGUUCGAGAGAGGUGAGUGGAAUUCCGAGUGUAGAGGUGAAAUUCGUAGAUAUUCGGAGGAACACCAGUGGCGAAGGCGACUCACUGGCUCGAUACUGACGCUGAGGUGCGAAAGCGUGGGGAGCAAACA